CCUACGGGAGGCAGCAGUGGGGGAUAUUGCACAAUGGGGGAAACCCUGAUGCAGCGACGCCGCGUGAGGGAAGAAGUACCUCGGUACGUAAACCUCUAUCAGCAGGGAAGAAAAUGACGGUACCUGACUAAGAAGCCCCGGCUAACUACGUGCCAGCAGCCGCGGUAAUACGUAGGGCGCGAGCGUUAUCCGGAUUUACUGGGUGUAAAGGGAGCGUAGGCGGGCGAGAAAGUUGGAUGUUAAAUCUCCGGGCUUAACCGGGAGCUGCCUUGGAAACUUCGUGGCUUGAGUGCAGGAGAGGCAAGCGGAAUUCCUAGUGUAGCGGUGAAAUGCGUAGAUAUUAGGAGGAACACCGGUGGCGAAGGCGGCCUACUGGACUUUAACUGACGCUGAGGCUCGAAAGCGUGGGGAGCAAACAGGAUUAGAUACCCCGGUAGUC
RNAcentral lists this ribosomal RNA (439 nucleotides) under uncultured bacterium. Its description in RNAcentral is "partial 16S ribosomal RNA". It matches the Rfam family "Bacterial small subunit ribosomal RNA", at positions 338 to 795 of the family's 1533-position model. The record is from RNAcentral.